UCAGGGGAAAACCGGCUGUUUCUGUCUCCUGGGGGGAGUUGAAGGAAUUCUUCUGGCGCUGCAACUGUUCUUAAGCUGUUUGCAAGGUGAAUCUAUUUUAGGAAGGAGAAUACAUUUGCUUUAAUGCAAAACUAUUUAUAGUCCCCAAAAAAACCAUUUCUUUUACUUGCACAGUUCUGAAUUUUCACUGACAAAGUGUCAACAGCUCCAUCUAUACCAAAGCCUUCAUGUUUGUAGUAGAGAUGGAGCAGCAGGGGGAGAAAGUAAUCAGGAGACUUUAAUUACUUUAUCACACUAAUGAAUGACCAACUUUAAUGAACUGGCUUCUGUUUUGUGAGAAGUCCUUGCUGACCUGACUUGUCAGGUAGCUCCGCUAUCCUGGUGCAAGCUUUGAAAUUAAUUUAAUUCAGGACAACUUAUUUUUGCUCUGCAAGCAUCCUUGUGAGGUACUUGGAGGGGUUGCAGGAAGCAUCUUUCCCGAGCUCCUGGUCCCUGGGAUGUCCAUUGAUGGAGCAAAUCCCUCUUCAGAAUAGCAUCACCUCACAAAAAAAAAAAAAAAAAAAAAAAAAAAAAAAAAAAGGCAUGUUUCCCACAGUUAUCUUUCCUGUCUCAGGCUGUGCUAAGGCAGGAAGAGAUUGUUUGUAGCAGGGUGCCGGCUCCGGGAGGAUUUUCCUGCAAGGCUGUGCUCUGAGCACUGCCAGCUGGGGCAAGCACUCGCCGGGGCUGAACCGCUUGGGUGCAGGCUCGCCUCUCCCGGCACCACGCUGCUCACAAGAUAAGUUAAAAACACACAGCCCUGUCAUUAUCUGAAAGCAUCUGGUUGUCUGAAUGAGUAAAAGAAAUAGCUGCAUUCCUAAGUGCACGGAGAAAUUUUGUAAGUGAAUUCUUCUGCGCUCAACCCUUUUAUGUGACUGUCUCCUGCUACUUUCAUCUAUAAUUUCAAUUUUUUUUUUAAGUGAGCAGAAAAAAGGCUGUCAAUGCACAACAGGUCCCAACACAAUUUCAGUGCCAGGGGAACUGUCUGAUAAGGUCCCAUAAGCACACAGGGGUGUGAUUUGCUCCAUACCUAAGACUAGUCCCAAGUUUAUCAUUGCAGGUUCUGCUGAGUUGCAGGUUUGCUAUGAUAGGAGCUGCAGCUGUGUUAAACAUACAGGGCACUUCAUUUUACUAAAAUCCCCCAUGGUUAAGCUCUUCACUGCUCAGACAAGAAGCCCAGCAGAAAGAUGAACAAUCUCAGUCCUGCUGUGGCAGCAUUUGAAUGCAGGCAUUGGAAGCAGAUUCUCUUGGAAACAAACAGGACCCUCUAGGAAAAGGCCUGGUGUGUCAGUGAAGCCCCAGUAAGAAUUGUUUUGACGGGGUGGGAAUUGCUCCCCUGAUAAGGCUGCACUGGGAACCCAAAGGCACAGGUGUCUCCACAGCAGCCUGUUGAGACACUGUUCAGAUGAACAAGCUGACGAGAAACCCUCUGCUGUGAUAAACCCCUCCGACUGUAGAGUGAAACGUGCUGUGCAAGUGCUCCCAGGUUACCCAGCUCACCACCAGCCACAUAAAUAUGGUGGGCUUUAGCGCUGAUGUGCUCCCCAGGUGUUCAGCUGCGUAAGGAAUGCAUCACUUUGUGGCAGCAUCCAGAGGAGAUGUGAGGAUCAGGUCCCUUUGUGCCCAGCAUGGCACAAACAUCUGUUCACCCAGAGCAGCCUGUGGGCCAACUGGAGCCUGCUGGCUCCAGGCAAGCAAGGCAUCUUGUCCAAAGCCUGGUGUCAGAGUGAAGCCAGGUGAACCUGCUUCUCAGGGUGCCCAUUUCUCCCCCAAGGAUGAACAAGGAGGCUCACAAAAUGCAUCUAAGGGACCAUGAAAUGUGAAAGGGCUAAACUUAUUCUUCUGUGGUGGUUUACAGUAUCAUGACUACUUUGAUGUUUCUUAGUCUAUUAUUUCUAGCUGGGUCUUUUCAAUUGCAACAUUUUGUUGACAGCCCCUAAAUCUAUCUUAACAAUUGACAAGUGGAGUGAAAACUGUGUUAAGGUUUGCGGUCAAUUAAUACAAACCUGCUAGGAAACAAGGGCUGGAAGCAAUGUAGUUUCUUUCCUUUUUCUUCAAGACUUAAAUGUUUGUGCUUACUCCAAAAUCAUAAGCCCUUUGCAAAGGGAUUACUUCAUUCUGUAUCUCCACAGUGCUGGUGCAAGGGGACUCCUAGCUGAUUGGUGCAAAUGAUAAAUGACAGGCAUCACACUCUGGUGUCAUUAUGCACAUUGACAUCCUUCACACAGGCCAGGUCUUCAAUCAGUGCCAGCACAAAUAACUUCAUUAAAGUCAAUUGCUGCAGGACCUCCAUUUUCACUCCUUCCACCCUAGGGAGUGCUCAGGGAUGUAGUGGGAUUCAGCCCACACAGGAGGAUCUGUGGCUAGUGAUCAUGUAUGUGUGUCAGAGAUGUGGCAUUGCAGAAAUCACUCAGUAAGCAGCAGAGGACAGAGGAGACCUGGUAUCCUCCAGGGAAGGUUGCACUGGCUUCUGCCGUCUCAGACUCACAGCCAGAACAAGGGGGCACUCCUGUAAAGUUGUGCCAGAAUGCUGUCAUCAUCGUCACAGCCUGGACCUCUGACAAUGACCAGAGCCUUCACUUGCCUCUUCUUUUAGGAGGUUCUCUACCAGAGGUUGGUAGAGAAGCAUACACUUAGAGAGCAAGCUAUGUAUUUCUUACCACUGAAAGGCUCAUUAAUUGGGAAGGCUGAUGAACAUUUCUGUGUUUCUUAAAGGGCAAGAUGGUAAAAGUGUCAGUACAGACACCUCUAUUGAUCUUCUGCUAUUUUCCCUGCACUCAGCCGGCUGACAUGGCUGAUUCUAAGAAAGAAAGACAAUUUUGCAACUGUCCACCUCUGUUUUGUCAUUUUGGCAGGAGUAUGAAUGGGAGGGGGUGUUUGUUUCAGAGCCUUUGUCCUUCUUGCCACUUUCUGCUCUUUGUCCUCCUACAAAGCUUUCCCAGACAUAGCAGCGUCUCACAGCACAGUGCUAUGCUGGGAUCAAAAUUCACUUGUCAAGCAGAGAAAACCACUUACCACACUUCUAUAGGUCACCUUCGUCCUCAAUCAUAUUAUAUCUAUUUCUUUGUAACCUGCCUUCUUUCAAGCAUGUGGUCAACAUAACAUCUUCUCUUGGAGAGGCACAGCUGGGCAACAGAGCUCUAUAUCCAAGUGGCUGCUCCCUCCAAAGCCACACCAAUUAAAGGAGCAGCACUAAUGCUGCUGGCUACAGGUCCCAGCAUGCAGGGAAAGUUUGAAGGUUCUCCACUUGUGUGGAAGAAAUGGGCAGGGUUUUCUGAUCCCACAGAGAUGAGGCUCAGUGAAUUCCUGUCCAUUUGCCCCCUGUCAAUAACAAUUCUCCCCAGCACUGCAAACUGCAAACAAGGUGAAGCUGGGGGAGUAUCCUCAGUCCUUAGCAUCAGUCCCUGUCCCAAUAGCCAGCCUCACAUGGCAAGGGACAGAAAUGCAACCACAUUCCUGACAGGUGCUGAUGCUUCAUGAGAUGCUGCAUAUGGCUUAGUAAAACAGAUCUUCUUCAUUCAAGGAGUUACUAGCUUUUUACACACAAUUUUUAACUCUUUGGGGAGUGUGAAAACUGUUCUUUAAAAUAAUAAAAAGUUGUGUAUAUAUUACUCUUGUAAAAAACACCAAUCUCCACCUCUGUAGGACUUCAAGGAGCUUGUUGAAUUACCAAAAAAAAAAAA
Long non-coding RNA from Taeniopygia guttata (zebra finch), 3719 nucleotides. The record is from Ensembl. Lineage: Eukaryota; Metazoa; Chordata; Aves; Passeriformes; Estrildidae.